Molecule: transfer RNA, 77 nt
Filed under: Bacillota bacterium
Lineage: Bacteria; Bacillati; Bacillota
Also listed under: 1 other name
Description: tRNA-Ile
Rfam family: tRNA
About the family: Transfer RNA (tRNA) molecules are approximately 80 nucleotides in length. Their secondary structure includes four short double-helical elements and three loops (D, anti-codon, and T loops). Further hydrogen bonds mediate the characteristic L-shaped molecular structure. tRNAs have two regions of fundamental functional importance: the anti-codon, which is responsible for specific mRNA codon recognition, and the 3' end, to which the tRNAs corresponding amino acid is attached (by aminoacyl-tRNA synthetases). tRNAs cope with the degeneracy of the genetic code in two manners: having more than one tRNA (with a specific anti-codon) for a particular amino acid; and 'wobble' base-pairing, i.e. permitting non-standard base-pairing at the 3rd anti-codon position.
Source: RNAcentral
GGAGCUGUAGCUCAGCUGGUUAGAGCGCACGCCUGAUAAGCGUGAGGUCGGAGGUUCAAGUCCCCCCAGCUCCACCA